This 1365-nucleotide long non-coding RNA is filed under the name Anolis carolinensis (green anole). RNAcentral's name for it is "lncRNA (ENSACAG00000042041.1)". The record is from RNAcentral. Lineage: Eukaryota; Metazoa; Chordata; Lepidosauria; Squamata; Anolidae.
AUGGAGUUUGGUUUGGACAAAUGUUCGACAGUGGCAUUGAAGAAGGGAAAAAUCAUUAAAAGUGAGGGCAUAAAUAUGCCCAAUGGCCAAACAAUAAAGUGUCACCAGCCAGAGGCCUAUAAAUAUCUGGGCAUAUUACAGCUGGACAACAUCAAGCAUGAACAUGUGAAAACUGUGGUCAGCAAAGAAUACACACAAAGGGUCAGAAAAAUUCUCAAAAGCAAGCUCAAUGGAGGCAACACCAUCAAGGCCAUAAACACCUGGGCCAUACCUGUCAUAAGAUAUACUGCUGGCAUCAUAAACUGGACACAGAUAGAACUGGACAAUUUGGACAGAAAAACAAGAAAACUCAUGACCAUUCAUCAUUCACUGCACCCUCGCAGUGAUGUUGACCGGCUAUAUCUGCCUAGAAGAUCAGGGGGCAGAGGACUCCUACAAGUAAAACAAGCAGUCAAAGAAGAAGAACAUGCCCUGGCAGAAUAUGUAAAGCAAAGUGAAGAACCUGCUUUGAUUGAAGUCAAAAAUCAGAAAUUCCUCAAAGCACAGCAGACAAAAAACCAGUACAAGAAAACCACACUACAAACUAGAGCUGACAACUGGCACAACAAAACAUUGCAUGGAAAGUUCCUUGACAAAAUUGAAGGAAAAGCUGAUAAGGAGAAGACCUGGCUCUGGCUCUGGCUCACAAAUGGGACCCUGAAGAAGGAGACAGAAGGCCUGAUCCUUGCAGCCCAGGAGCAAGCCAUCAGGCCAAAUGCAAUUAAGGCCAAGAUCAAAAAAUCAGCUGAUGACCCAAAAUGCAGACUGUGCAAGGAAACAGAUGAAACCAUUGAUCAUAUCCUCAGCUGCUGUAAGAAAAUUGCACAGACAGACUACAAACAGAGGCACAACUAUGUGGCCCAAAUGAUUCAUUGGAACUUAUGCCUCAAGUACCACCUGCCAGCAGCAAAGAACUGGUGGGAUCACAAACCUGCAAAAGUAUUGGAAAAUGAGCACGCAAAUAUACUGUGGGACUUCCGAAUCCAGACUGACAAAGUUCUGGAACACAAUACACCAGACAUCACAGUUGUGGAAAAGAACAAGGUUUGGAUCAUUGAUGUUGCCAUCCCAGGUGACAGUCGCAUUGACGAAAAACAACAGGAAAAACUCAGCCACUAUCAGGACCUCAAGAUUGAACUGCAAAGACUCUGGCAGAAACCAGUGCAGGUGGUCCCGGUGGUGAUGGGCACACUGGGUGCAGUGCCGAAAGAUCUCAGCCGGCAUUUGGAAACAACAGACAUUGACAAAAUCACGAUCUGCCAACUGCAAAAAGCCACCCUGCUGGGAUCUGCACGCAUCAUCCGAAAAUACAUCACACAGUCCUAG